AAGCCUAACUAGGGUUCCCAUGUC
RNAcentral lists this non-coding RNA (24 nucleotides) under Arabidopsis thaliana (thale cress). The record is from RNAcentral. Lineage: Eukaryota; Viridiplantae; Streptophyta; Magnoliopsida; Brassicales; Brassicaceae.